GGCGGAUCACAAGGUCAGGAGAUUGAGACCAUCCUGGCGCUAACACGGUGAAACCCCGUCUCUACUAAAAAUACAAAAAAUUAGCCGGGCAUGGUGACGGGCGCCUGUGGUCCCAGCUAUUCAGGAGGCUGAGGCAGGAGAAUGGCGUGAACCCGGGAGGUGGAGCUUGCAGUGAGCCGAGAUCGUGCCACUGCACUCCAACCUGGGCGACAGAGCAAGACUCCAUCUAAAAAAAAAAAAAAAAAAGAAAGGAGUGGAAGAGAAAAGAGGCACCAAAUCUGAGUAUAAAUGACUGAAUACAUUGUUACAUGUGCCAAGAUUGAUACCGACCAUUUAUCUACCUCCUGGUGUAUUCCAGAGAUUAUAAGCAUGAUUAAUAGGUAUCACAAUAUCAUACUACAAUGAAGAAACUAAGGUUAAGUUUUAGCAAGAUUAAAUAAAUUGCAUAUCAUCCCAUGGUUAGUAAAUGAUUGAAGCAGGAUAUAAAGUCAGGAGAUUCAAAGGUUUUACACCUCACUGUCUUUUGAUAGUACUGCUGACAAACUAGGGAAGUUGGGUAAGUUAACUUGUCAGGAAUGGAAGGAUAAGUUACCCAAUUACGUGGAGACAUGGUAACUGAAGAGCUGAUAAAUCAUCAUCCAUCCAGCCAUCCCUCCAUCCAUCUUUCUAUUCUUUCUUUCAAUCAGUAAUACAGCAAAUCUUUGUGAAACACCUACUAUAUGCCAAACACUGGAAAAUCAACAGUGAACAAAGGAAAAGUUGUCCUUGUCCUGCAGAAGCUUCUGGAAAGGACACAAGUGCAGCGAGGAACGGCAACGUGGCUAGGGCCACCUAGCUAGUUGGUAGCACAAAAGGUAUAAGAACCCCAGCCUGACUCUUCGUUCAGCGCUCUUGCCACUGUGUUGUGCUGACCUGCUGUGAUCCUGAACAACCUCUCCCCGAAGGCAGAAGCCAUCAGCUUUUCUUGCCAAGAAGUUCCUUCUAUCACACCUAAAUUCCGUCGAACACAGCUUCAGCCAGCUUGGAAAUAGCCUUUCUGUUGGGACAUUUCCAAAUCCCAGGUUUAGAGGUUCUUCCAUCUGGCAGGUGUCAAAGAAGACAACAGGAAC
This is a long non-coding RNA of Pongo pygmaeus (Bornean orangutan), 1109 nucleotides long. RefSeq lists it as uncharacterized. The transcript has 3 exons. Lineage: Eukaryota; Metazoa; Chordata; Mammalia; Primates; Hominidae. The record is from RefSeq and is a predicted model, not a curated record.